ACAGGCAAAGCAUCCAGUUUCUAAUAUACUGUGGCUCAGAGGGCAGAGCUGGGGUUGGCCCCGAGGUCAGAAACUUCUUUUAGCACCUUCUAAGAAGGCGGACUCAAAUAGAAAACUAAGUAGAAGGUAGAGGGUGCCGACAUGUAAAGGCAUGGAGAUAAAUAGCACCCAACUGUGCACGGGGCUCUAGUGGGCAAAGAUCCCUGAGAGGUCCCAAGCCAGGGGGCCUGAGACAGCAUCCUCACCUUGGUGAGGGCAGCAGGGAGCUUCCUGGUGAGGAGGAUAUCCCGUCUUUCAGUAGGCAGGCAUUUCACUCACAACCACUCCGGCUGAAAUGUUAAGGAGAUUCUCUAGCCACUAACUGAUUUUAGCAAGUCACUCAGACACUGGUGACAUGAGCUCACCGUUUCUUUGAAGCCACAGGGUGAAGUCUCUGUGGCUGAGUAACUGAAAGUUGGGGCUGGGGAGAGAUUUGCUUUGGCUGGUUGGGAGGUAGGUCCCUGACAUAAUGAGGCACCCAGCUUCCUCCAAAUCCUAAUUAUUGCUCUGCUAAAAAUAUUCAGUAAUGAGCAUGAUCAAAGAACCUUUCUCAUCAUGCUUUGCAGAACUGCGGCGUUUGGUUAUGGAACUAUUUUAAGAAGCAGCAAAGCACAUGUUAAUGAAGGAAACUUUCAACAGUAGUAGGCAAUAUUAGAAUGACGAUGAGUAAUGUGGACCUUACAGUCUACUUCAUUUAAGCUCCAUCUUUGCUGGAGAAUUUUGACAUGUAGUUCUGACAAGCAGAGCAGAGGGCUGUAAAGUUUAAUUCAUGCCCUCGGUAUCUCCAGCUUCAUAUAAAGUGAUUUUUGACUUUCAGAAUGAACCUCGAUUAGAGGAUAGAAGCCAAAUGUGGCUGCUGACGCCAUUUCUGAGCACCUUUCUUCCACGACGAACGCUCUGGCCUUCUCUACCUGGGCCCCAAACAGAUUUCUACCGUGGCUCUCCCUUGGUGAGGAAUCAGCAGAGUAGAUCAAUGGACCACAAGAAAGGGUCCUUGUGCCCAUGAAAAGGCACAUGUAAGUCUUAUGCCUGCGCUCCGAGAGCAAGUAAAAUGCCACCUGACUAUUCAAUUUGGAGGUGGGAAUUGUGGUGGAUUGAAGAUGGGCACGAUUCCUGUCCCUUGGAAUGUGAGCUGGCCUUCGUGACGUGCUUAUAACAAAUAAAAUGUGGCAUAAGUGAUGCUGCGUGGCUUCCAAGGCUAGAACCAGUGUCAACCGCAACUGAGCUCCCUGUCAACAGCCAGCACCCACUGCCCGCCACUUAAGUGCGCCAUCAGGGACCUCCAGCCCAACUGGGCCAGUGUCUGACUACAACCAUUUCAGAGACCCUGAGCCAGGACCACCCAGUCAAGCCCUUACUGGAAUCCUGUUCCACAAAAUCAUGAGCAAAAUUAAGUGGCUCUUUUUCUUGGCCAUGCCGUGCAGCAGGCAGGAUCUUAGUUCCCUGACCAGGGAUUGAACCCGUGCCCCCUGCAUUGGGAGCAUGGAGUCUUAACCACUGGACCGCCAGGGAAGUCCCUAAAGCGGCUCUUUUAAGUCACUAACUGCAGCAAUAAUUCGUUAUGCAACAAUCGGAUGAUCAAUCGCUUAGAGUUAGCAAAAUAUUGGACCUGUUUCUACACCCAACAACUAGAACUUGAGGUUUUCCUGAUUCCUCAAAUCAGGAAAGUAACUUUCUCUUAGCUCACCAGAGGCUAUUCACCCAGAAAUAAAACCACCGGUAAAUGCUUGUUGCUGCUCUACGAGGCAGUCGAAGAACUGUCACCCCAGGACAUGCUGACUCAAUUAAACCUGGGAGUAACCCCUGGGGGAAUUCUGGGUGAACCAGAAUCCCCGGUCUGGAUUCAUGCUACUCUAAGUGAGCUUUAUGAACCUACAGUAGCUAACGCCCUGGGAGCUCAUCAGAAAUGGGAAUCUUAGGUCCCACCAGACCUACUGAACCCAAAUCUGCACCUGAACAAGAUCUUGCAGGGAUCUGCAGACACAUUGACACUUGACAAGCACUUGUGUGUACCAGGCCCUUCAUGACAACUUUCGGAAAGAAGCAGCUUGCUCACACCUCAGAUCUUACAAAGACUUAAAAAGCCCUCUUCCCACUGAUGCUGAGACCUCCAUCACCUCAGGGGAGAGCAGAUGCAGCUGCGGAUACAGGAGACUGUGUUCAGCUUUUGACUUCUCAAACAAGCUCUUCUGAAGGCUCAUUUCCAAAAGAAUAGUUAUGAAAGCAGGCUUGUGGAUGCACUCAGUGGUUCGUGUGUUAACCAACGAGAGUCAAAACCAUCCAAAGAUGGAAUGGGCUGCCUUGGGAGAGAGGAAGCUCCCCCUCAUGGGAGCCGUGCAAGCAUCAGUUCUACCUGGAUCUGGCAGUGAUGCCAAAGAGGAGGUAGACGACUGGAAACUCUGGCGUGAGUGUCCACGGAGCAUCUCUGAUGACUUCAUCCACAUAGCGACAGUGUCUCAGCGCUUCGUAUCUCUCUGCUUCAUUCAUCACGGUGAAACCUUUGAAUUUGUGGGUGAGGU
This is a long non-coding RNA of Orcinus orca (killer whale), 2558 nucleotides long. RefSeq lists it as uncharacterized. The record is from RefSeq and is a predicted model, not a curated record. NCBI's taxonomy places the organism in Eukaryota, Metazoa, Chordata, Mammalia, Artiodactyla, Delphinidae. The transcript has 4 exons.